This is a long non-coding RNA of Vicia villosa (hairy vetch), 756 nucleotides long. RefSeq lists it as uncharacterized. Lineage: Eukaryota; Viridiplantae; Streptophyta; Magnoliopsida; Fabales; Fabaceae. The record is from RefSeq and is a predicted model, not a curated record. The transcript has 2 exons.
UGGAUGUGUCGGUUGGACUUCACUACUCAAACUCUCUCCCUCUAGUCACUUUCGUUCUUCUCUCGCAAACCAACGACGGCGCCGGAGAAAUCUGUUUCUCCGAGCGGCCACCACCACCGAACACCUCACCUUUGAUUCAUUCUCACGCUCACUUCGUCGAUUCACAAGAUAAACUCUCAAAAUCUUCCACUCGAGCCCCAAAUUGAAAACCCUAGGAACUAAGGUGAUGAUGAGACCGAGCUUGAGAUCAAGGGGGAAAGAAAUAGGAGGUCUCAACCUUCACAGUGGUUUCAAGAAAAUGCAGAGAAGACGAAUAAUCGAAGGAUUCGAAAAACUUACCGGUGAUGACGAUUCUUGAAGACGCUCAAAUGGAUGAGGAAGUACCAAAGACAAUUGCUAGAAAUCCAGGUGGGUUUUUCUGUGCAGCAGAAGGUUUUGUGUAGAGUGGAGCUGCGGUUUGAUUUUGUGAUGCAGGGGUAGGACCAUGGAAGGCGAGACUCGAAGAAAGGCGAGCAAAGUGAUACCGAAGGAGACUUGGUAAAAGAAGAUGAAGAGCAGGCUAUAAGUUUAAUAUGUAUUCUACACUAUAUAACUUUGUACAGUAUGUAACAUGGCUUGGACUUUGUGUGACAUGGCAAUAAUAGUUGAAUGAAUGUAUGAUUGUACCAAAAUAUGGAUCUGCAUAUAUUUGUAAUUUUCCUUGGCUUGUAUCAUAAACUUGGACCAAAUUUGAAUGAAAUAAGAUUUCCUCAUCAA